CUUAAGCGCAGCAUGAGUUUCCGUGUACAACUUUAAUUAUCUGUCUUAUUUAAAUUUUUUUUAUAAUUAGUAUUUUUAUUGUUAUUAGAUUAUAAAACAUUAAUAGUAUUUUAUGCGUGACUCAUAUUUUUUUUAGUUUUCUCAAAAAAAAAAUUAAAUAAGACGAAUGAUUAAAGUUGAACAUAAAAACUUAUGGCUGCGCUUAUU
Oryza glumipatula is the source of this 207-nucleotide non-coding RNA. NCBI's taxonomy places the organism in Eukaryota, Viridiplantae, Streptophyta, Magnoliopsida, Poales, Poaceae. The record is from Rfam.